Molecule: long non-coding RNA, 2588 nt
Filed under: Mus musculus (house mouse)
Lineage: Eukaryota; Metazoa; Chordata; Mammalia; Rodentia; Muridae
Description: long non-coding RNA chr17:79623287-79625875
Source: RNAcentral
UUUAAAGUGGUGAGUGGCCUAUACUCCUAAAACCCUGCCUGCUUGCUCAGGAAAUGCUAACAUUCUGGAAAGAGAAGAAGCCCUCCUCCAGCUCAGGACAGAUAAAAGGAAGAUAAUUACAAACUCUAAACAUUGAGGUAAGAAUGAAAGAAAUAGGAGUUCAAAGAAGAUUUGGGAAAAUUAUGAAUGACAGCUGGCAUGAAUAUAUCAAAACUAAGACACAGGCACUGAAACCGUACCUCUUCUAGCUUGAUCAUGGUUGGUUUUGUUAGCAAUAACUAUAAUACAGUCCUAGUAACAGACUAGACUGGUAAACACACGAGACUAAGUAAAUGGGAGGAACCCUUUCCUACCUAACGCUGCUUUAGAACAGUUUUUAAGCAAAAUAAUAAUAAUAAUAAUAAUAAUACUUUUAAUUUAGUUUUUAAUGAGAUACAAAAAUAUGUACUGUCUCUGUAGAUAAAUAUCUGUAAGAUAGUCACCUCCCUAAGCCUUCUCUCUCCCUUUGGAACUUGCCUGAUCUCAACUAGCUUCCCACAGGGGACUCUCUCGCCACCACAAGUAUUUCAGAGACCCCAGGAAGAAACCAGUAAGUACAGGCAUAUACCAACCUUUAGAUUGUACUAACUCAGGGAUAACAAAAUCAAGUCUGCUGAGAGCUUACCGGCUUGCAUCAGUUUACUGGAGAAUCCUUUAACUUUGAUCUCUGUGAGAUGAAAUGCAGACCUUGCCUUUGUAGGGUGGGGUGUUUGUUGUUGGUUUUGGCAUUUCUAUCUUAAGUUUAUUGACUUCUGUCAGGUCAGUUUGGUGUUGAAAUUCAUGUCUAGGCUUCUAGGCAAACAGACGCUGACUAUAAUGAUGAUUUUGUAUCCCUCAAAGUUGUUAUAGUUGGAAAAUGAUUUUUUUCAGCUCUACUAACAAUGUGACGUUGGAAUUGAGAUCUUUUCUUUAGGAGGUGCCCCUUGCCUUCAUCUGCGUGCAGGCCUUGACAGUUCCCCUGUCUCCUCUGGGUGCUUGUGUUCCUAUAUACAUGGAAUAACUGGGAUUUUGUUCCUAAAAAUUACAGAAGUAACAUUUUGUGAUGCAUUGGGGUUUUUUUUUUGUAGCCGUUUAUUCAUUUUUUUUUCUGUUUUGAGGCUGUCUCGUGUUGAUAUAUGUAAACGAGUUCUUUUGAAAUGUGGUCCUGCAUCCCAUUGGUACAGUAUUGCUCUCUCUUGUUGGUGAAUAUUUGGAGCAUCAUUUGUGUGCUCCUAUAAAUAAUGCCUCGGUGACUACCCUUAGAAUUCCUUAGACACGUGUGGGGUUUUAAAGCAUGUGUUUGAAGUGCUGACUUAGAGGCCACAUGUAUCGGUUAUAUGUAUACUAAUAAAUGUUUAAAAUACCCCCAGUUCACAAACCUGUAUCUAUGAGAAGGCUCAUUGUCCUGUAUUAACACUUAUAGCGUCGGAUUUUAAACUUCAGUCAAAUUUAUGAAGAUGAAAUGUUAACAAAUAAUUUUCUGAUUUGUAUUCCCCUGAACCUUCAUUAUAUUGAGCAUAUUGCCAUACAUUUUUGGUUUGUAAAUAAAUCUCUUUCAUGAUGGGGGAAGGGAAAAAGAAAGAGAAAGAGAGAGAAGGGCUAGGAGAGAGAAACUGAACUUGGUGAAGUCCCUCAUAUUCACUGACUGUGUCUACUCCAUGCCAGGCACUGUCUAAACUCUAGAGACACAACUGAGAACAAAACAGUCCUGUAACUUCAACCAGUUUUCUUUAAGAUGAAGUAGGAUGUUGAAGAGGAACGCUCUCGGGCAUUUUAGCCAGAACCCCCCAAAGGUGAAGGACCACACAAAACAUUUUAAGGGCGUAGCGUUGGUGUAAUUAGGUGCUUCCUUGACCUACGUGGCAAGGACAAGGACUUGCUAAGAGACUGAAGGCGUUGCCCAGGAGAGCCAGUGCUCACUGUCUGCAGCUGUGAAAGGAGACUGGUGCAGAGCAGAGAAGUUCUGCCAUUGUUGACCCCAUUGCAGUAUGUUUGCAAAGCCCAGAUCCUGGAGGAAUGGGUGUUGUUGCUAAAGCACCUGUGCAGUGUGGGCAGAGAAAAGAGUAGCAUGCAUAGCCUUCUGGAGCCAGUGUUACUGGAGUGGGUGGAAGCGAACUCGAGCAAGCCAGCAAAGGACCUGAGAACUGUUGGAACAAGUGUGUGUUCAGGUGAGAGAACAGAGCAGAACUACCCCAGCCCAGAGCAGACCAGCAGAGGACUGGGGAACCAAGGAAGAGUAAGCUUUCAGGAGCAGCAGUGGGGACGUCUGCUUUCAUCCAUCUGACACAAGCAUGCAUCCUGGUUCAGCUUUAACUACAUACAUGACAUCAGUUUCCCAAACCUGAAUGCUUUUCUUACAGUGUAGGUAAAGGUCAGUAUGAUGGCUCAGAGGGUAAAGGCCUUUGCCACACAAGCCUGACAACCCGUGUCCAACCCCUGGGACCCAAGGUGGAAAGAGACAACCAACUCCCAGAGGUUGUCCUGUGACCUCUACCUACAUGCCAUGACUUCAUGGUAUGGACACCCCACCCCCAGACAAACAUUCAAUAACAAAUAAAACUAUGUUAAUU